Molecule: transfer RNA, 63 nt
Filed under: Jeotgalibaca porci
Lineage: Bacteria; Bacillati; Bacillota; Bacilli; Lactobacillales; Carnobacteriaceae
Rfam family: tRNA
About the family: Transfer RNA (tRNA) molecules are approximately 80 nucleotides in length. Their secondary structure includes four short double-helical elements and three loops (D, anti-codon, and T loops). Further hydrogen bonds mediate the characteristic L-shaped molecular structure. tRNAs have two regions of fundamental functional importance: the anti-codon, which is responsible for specific mRNA codon recognition, and the 3' end, to which the tRNAs corresponding amino acid is attached (by aminoacyl-tRNA synthetases). tRNAs cope with the degeneracy of the genetic code in two manners: having more than one tRNA (with a specific anti-codon) for a particular amino acid; and 'wobble' base-pairing, i.e. permitting non-standard base-pairing at the 3rd anti-codon position.
Source: RNAcentral
CGUAAUUCAGUUGGUAGAAUGCUUGACUGUUAAUCAAGAAGUCGUAGGUUCGAGUCCUACCGG